This 966-nucleotide ribosomal RNA is filed under the name Chlorobiota bacterium. Its description in RNAcentral is "bacterial SSU rRNA". It matches the Rfam family "Bacterial small subunit ribosomal RNA", at positions 1 to 970 of the family's 1533-position model. Lineage: Bacteria; Pseudomonadati; Chlorobiota. The record is from RNAcentral.
ACUACGGAGAGUUUGAUCCUGGCUCAGGACGAACGUUGGCGGCGUGCCUAAUACAUGCAAGUCAACUGAAGUUAAGGUAGCAAUACUUUAACAACGGUGGCGCACGGGUGAGUAACACGUAGGUAAUCUGCCUUCAGGUCUGACAUAACCCACCGAAAGGUGAGCUAAUAUCAGAUGAUGCAGCGGCUCGACAUCGAGACAGUUGUUAAACCUUCGGGGCCUGAAGAUGAGCCUGCGUCUGAUUAGCUAGUUGGCGGGGUAACGGCCCACCAAGGCAACGAUCAGUAGCUGGUCUGAGAGGAUGAUCAGCCACACUGGAACUGAGAUACGGUCCAGACUCCUACGGGAGGCAGCAGUAAGGAAUAUUGCUCAAUGGGAGAAAUCCUGAAGCAGCAACGCCGUGUGAGGGAUGAAGGGCUUUUGCUUGUAAACCUCUGUAGUGAGGGAAAAACCCCCGCCUCUGGCGGGUAUGAUGGUACCUCAAAAGUAAGCCCCGGCUAACUACGUGCCAGCAGCCGCGGUAAUACGUAGGGGGCAAACGUUGUCCGGAUUUACUGGGUGUAAAGGGUGCUCAGGCGGUCUUGUAAGUCAGAAGUGAAAUCCUAGGGCUUAACUCUGGAACUGCUUUUGAUACUGCAAGGCUUGAGUAUGGAAGAGGAGGAUGGAAUUUCUGGUGUAGCAGUGAAAUGCGUAGAUAUCAGAAAGAACACCAGUGGCGAAGGCGGUCCUCUGGUCCAUUACUGACGCUAAAGCACGAAAGCGUGGGGAGCAAACAGGAUUAGAUACCCUGGUAGUCCACGCCUUAAACGAUGAAUACUAGACGUUGGGAUAAAACUCAGUGUCGCAGCUAACGCAAUAAGUAUUCCACCUGGGGAGUACGAUCGCAAGGUUGAAACUCAAAGGAAUUGACGGGGGCCCGCACAAGCAGUGGAGCAUGUGGUUCAAUUCGAUGCAACGCGAAGAACC